UACGUAGGCAGCGAGCGUUGUUCGGAGUUACUGGGCGUAAAGAGUGCGUAGGCGGUUUUCUAAGUUUGGUGUGAAAUCUCCCGGCUCAACUGGGAGGGUGCGCCGAAGACUGGAAGGCUAGAGUGUGGGAGAGGUAAGCGGAAUUCCUGGUGUAGCGGUGAAAUGCGUAGAUAUCAGGAGGAACACCUGCGGUGUAGACGGCUUACUGGACCAUGACUGACGCUGAGGCACGAAAGCGUGGGUAGCAAACAGG
RNAcentral lists this ribosomal RNA (253 nucleotides) under uncultured bacterium. RNAcentral's name for it is "partial 16S ribosomal RNA". It matches the Rfam family "Bacterial small subunit ribosomal RNA", at positions 524 to 776 of the family's 1533-position model. The record is from RNAcentral.